Molecule: ribosomal RNA, 497 nt
Filed under: uncultured bacterium
Lineage: Bacteria
Description: partial 16S ribosomal RNA
Rfam family: Bacterial small subunit ribosomal RNA
Source: RNAcentral
GAUGAACGCUGGCGGCGUGCCUAAUACAUGCCAGUCGAGCGAACGGACGAGAAGCUCGCUUCUCUGAUGUUAGCGGCGGACGGGUGAGUAACACGUGGAUAACCUACCUAUAAGACUGGGAUAACUUCGGGAAACCGGAGCUAAUACCGGAUAAUAUUUUGAACCGCAUGGUUCAAAAGUGAAAGACGGUUUUGCUGUCACUUAUAGAUGGAUCCGCGCUGCAUUAGUGAGUUGGUAAGGUAACGGCUUGCCAAGGCAACGAUGCCUAGCCGACCUGGGAGGGUGUACCGCCACUGUGAGACUGGAACACCACACUGGCACCGACAGGAGGCAGCGAUUGGGAAUCGUCCGAGAUGGGCGGAAUCCUGACCAAGCGGCGCCGGCUUGAUGCUGAGGGUCUUCGUGUCGGAAAACUCUGUUAUUGUUGUAAAACAUUUUCGUUAGUAACUAUGCACAUCUUGACGGUACCUAGACAGGAAGCCACGGCUAACUACGUG